RNAcentral lists this ribosomal RNA (306 nucleotides) under uncultured bacterium. RNAcentral describes it as "partial 16S ribosomal RNA". It matches the Rfam family "Bacterial small subunit ribosomal RNA", at positions 507 to 807 of the family's 1533-position model. The record is from RNAcentral.
GACAGCAGCAGCCACGGGAAUACGAAGGGGGCUAGCGUUGCUCGGAAUUACUGGGCGUAAAGGGAGCGUAGGCGGACAUUUAAGUCAGGGGUGAAAUCCCAGAGCUCAACUCUGGAACUGCCUUUGAUACUGGGUGUCUUGAGUGUGAUAGAGGUAUGUGGAACUCCGAGUGUAGAGGUGAAAUUCGUAGAUAUUCGGAAGAACACCAGUGGCGAAGGCGACAUACUGGAUCAUUACUGACGCUGAGGCUCGAAAGCGUGGGGAGCAAACAGGAUUAGAUACCCCCGUAGUCCCUGUCUCUUAUAC